UAGCUACUGCAUCAUAGUAGAUAUGAUGCAMGAUCGACUAUGUUGAAUAAAAUUCUAGGUAGAAUUAUGAUAAUGACAUUGUCUGCCUAUGUGUCUUGUCCAAAUUMCGWUYSCAGUAGCSGUAAUACGUAGAAGACUAGUGUUAUUCAUGUUUAAUCGGUUUAAAGGGUACCUAGACGGUAGAUCAAGCUUUCUAAUAAAGGAAAAGGACUAAUUUACUAGAGUUACUUAUGAGGGGGUAUUAAAGUACUGCUGGUGUAGAGAUGAAAUUCUGUCAUACCUCUUUUCAAAAGAAAAACCAUGGCACAGGUAUAGGCGAAGGCAUCCCCUUAUGUGAUAACUGACGUUGAGGGACGAAGGCUUUGUGUAGCGAACAGGAUUAGAUACCCCAGUAGUCGAAGCAGAAAAUGAUGAAUGUCAUAGAUUAGAUAUAUAAGUUUAUUCUAUAAAUGAAAGUGUAAGCAUUCCACCUCAUGAGUAAUUUGGCAACAUUGGAACUGAAAUCAUUAGACCGUUUCUGAAACCAGUAGUGAAGUAUGUUGUUUAAUUUGAUGCCCCGCAAAAAACCUUACCACAAUUUGAAUAUUUAUAUUAUUUAUUGUUUUAUUAUUAAUUUUCUUAUAGUAAGAAUAUUAAUAAAGAGGCAAUAAGAUAUAUUUACAAGCGKUGCACGGCUGUCUUCAGUUAAUGUCGCGAGACUUUGGUUAGUUCCAUUAAAUUAACGUAAACCCUUACUUUAUUUUAUAUAGAGUAGUUACCCGCUAU
RNAcentral lists this ribosomal RNA (765 nucleotides) under Xanthoparmelia sp. RNAcentral's name for it is "SSU rRNA". It matches the Rfam family "Bacterial small subunit ribosomal RNA", at positions 383 to 1141 of the family's 1533-position model. Lineage: Eukaryota; Fungi; Ascomycota; Lecanoromycetes; Lecanorales; Parmeliaceae. The record is from RNAcentral.